AGGAAAGUAGCUCAACCGGUUGGGUGCUUGCUUUGCAUGCGAGAGAUAUAGGGUUCGAUCCCUUGCAUCUA
This 71-nucleotide transfer RNA is filed under the name Salix viminalis (osier). Lineage: Eukaryota; Viridiplantae; Streptophyta; Magnoliopsida; Malpighiales; Salicaceae. The record is from RNAcentral.